Molecule: ribosomal RNA, 424 nt
Filed under: uncultured bacterium
Lineage: Bacteria
Description: partial 16S ribosomal RNA
Rfam family: Bacterial small subunit ribosomal RNA
Source: RNAcentral
AAUAUUGGAUAAUGGGCGAAAGCCUGAUCCAGCCAUGCCGCGUGUGUGAAGAAGGUCUUCGGAUUGUAAAGAACUUUAAUUUGGGAGGAAGGGGUUGAAGCGAAUACCUUCAAUCUUUGACGUUACCAACAGAAUAAGCACCGGCUAACGCUGUGCCAGCAGCCGCGGUAAGACGAAUGGUGCAAGCGUUAAUCGGAAUUACUGGGCGUAAAGCGCGCGUGGGUGGUUUGUUAAGUUAGAAGUGAGAGCACCGGGCUCAACCUAGGAACUGCUUUCAAAACUGACAAGCUAAAGUAUGGCAGAGAGUGGUGGAAUUUCCUGUGUAGCGGUAGAAGGCAUAGAUAUAGGAAGGGAAAACAGUGGCGAAGGCGACCGCCUGGGCUAAUACUGACACUGAGGUGCGAAAGCGUGGGGAGCAAACAGG